Molecule: ribosomal RNA, 880 nt
Filed under: Ditylenchus destructor
Lineage: Eukaryota; Metazoa; Nematoda; Chromadorea; Rhabditida; Anguinidae
Description: SSU rRNA
Rfam family: Eukaryotic small subunit ribosomal RNA
Source: RNAcentral
YWCUMACACUAUAAUUUACUUGAUCUUGACAAAUCCUACUUGGAUAACUGUGGUAAUUCUAGAGCUAAUACAUGCACCAAAGCUCUGACCUUACGGGAAGAGUGCAUUUAUUAGAACAAAACCAGGCGGCCUUCGGGUCGUUUUUUGUUGACUCAGAAUAACUAAGCUGAUCGCAUGGUCUCGUACCGGCGACGUGUCUUUCAAGUGUCUGCCUUAUCAACUUUCGAUGGUAGUGUAUGUGACUACCAUGGUUGUGACGGGUAACGGAGGAUAAGGGUUUGACUCCGGAGAAGGGGCCUGAGAAAUGGCCACUACGUCUAAGGAUGGCAGCAGGCGCGCAAAUUACCCACUCUCAGAAUGAGGAGGUAGUGACGAGAAAUAACGAGACCGUUCUCUUAGAGGCCGGUCAUCGGAAUGGGUACAAUCUAAACCCUUUAACGAGUAUCUAUGAGAGGGCAAGUCUGGUGCCAGCAGCCGCGGUAAUUCCAGCUCUCAAAAUGCAUAGAAUUAUUGCUGCGGUUAAAAAGCUCGUAGUUGGAUCUGUGCCGCAGGACUCGGUCCGCCUUCGGGCGCGCACUGAGCUCCUCGGCUUUUCUGCUGGUUUUCCCGUUAUGGUCUUAACCGGCCGUAGCGGGUGGCUGGCGAUUUUACUUUGAACAAAUCAGAGUGCUCAACACAGGCGUUUCGCUUGAAUGUUCUUGCAUGGAAUAAUAGAAGAGGAUUUCGGUCCUAUUUUAUUGGUUUUAUAGGCUGAAAUAAUGGUUAAUAGAGACAAACGGGGGCAUUCGUAUCGCUGCGUGAGAGGUGAAAUUCUUGGACCGCAGCGAGACGAACUACAGCGAAAGCAUUUGCCAAGAAUGUCUCAUAAUCAGACGAAWCG